GGAAGAGAAAAAACAAUUAUACUUGUGAAAUGAAACCUAUAAUUAGCAAAGGUAUACAUAUAAAUUCACCCAAUCAGUGUGACAGAAGUCCUACACUUGGAAGCCCCGCCAGAUACUGACCAAGAGUCAAGAGGUCGCCAUCGCUACUGACGACGCUAUAGUAAGUAAGUAAGUAAAAAAAAAAAA
This is a long non-coding RNA of Penaeus monodon (black tiger shrimp), 186 nucleotides long. RefSeq lists it as uncharacterized. NCBI's taxonomy places the organism in Eukaryota, Metazoa, Arthropoda, Malacostraca, Decapoda, Penaeidae. The record is from RefSeq and is a predicted model, not a curated record. The transcript has 2 exons.